ACCCCGAACUUGAACCUACCUGCAGCCCCACCUGGACCAGUUGGUCUGACGGUCCCGGUCUCGGUCAGAGUUGGACCGUGGAGGGAUGCCACAGAACCGAGGAGAGAAGUUCGCGUGUUAACGAGCCGGACCGAGAGGAGGUUCGGUUCGGACGGACCUGGAUCUAAAGCAGCUGCUGCCGUGGAUGGCAGCGGAGAGCCGCGGGACGGGUCCAGUCCGGGCGGAACCGGAGCGCUCCGAACCGGGAUCUGGGUCCGGAACCGGAGCUCCGCGCUGAGCCCGGAGAGAGCCUUGCUGUCUCAACAUGAUCUGACCUUUGACCUCUGACCUGGAAAACGAGCUGAUCCGGAGGGUGCAGCAGCAACAGCAGGAGUGUGACCCACAUCUCUGAGCGCUGACAGCACACAUCUGGAUGAGCAGGUGAUGGGUGAAGCUCGCACCUGCUGCCCCCCCCCCCCCUCUCACACACACACACACACCUGUCUGGAACAGGUUUGUUUACGCGGAGACAGGAUCCUGACCCUCCGGGGGAGCAAGAACAAUGCAUUCUGGGAAAACGGGGUUUUAUAACCCAGAGGUAGCUCUUCUCAUGUCCUGGAGCACGUGGCCGCUGUAAAACGCGUCAGUUCGACAUCCUGUGAUGGAACCGCUGCGGCUGCAGAUCCAGCGUGAAAAAGGCUUGUAGAUAACGGGAUUGGCGAGGAUGUGGUAACAGGAAGUCGUCUCUCUGGGUCGUCACAAUAAAGGCUUGUCAUUUUAUGGAAACACGCCGAAACCUUAACUUGUUUUGAUCUCAUCUUCAAAAAGCACAACCAGUUACGGCUCAGUAUUUGUCCGACAGAAUUUUAGACGCUUUCGUUUGCUUUACUAUGGCAGCCAUCUUGGAUUGGGUUGAGUCCCCAGAGUUAGAUUCAGGAUGAUGGUUUCGUUACGUCUACGACACGGAUGACACUCGUUCACACCCACCCGACAAACAAAGGUCCUCUGAGCCGAGUCAGAGCCAACGACACGGGGCCAGAUGGUGAAAAGUCACUUUUUUCUCUUUUGUUUGUAACGUUGAUUCAAACCUGUGAAGAUUCACAGAUUUAAGGUCCAGGAAUAGUUUAGCUUCUCGCUCUGCCCACAGAAGCGUGGUUUGGGUUUUUGUUCUGGACGUAGAAAGCCUGAGGGCGGUGGAGCACUGGGAGCUGCCCAGUAGGACCACCAUCUGCUGCUCGGCAUCAUGGGAGAUCCAUGGCACCUCCUCGGAGAAAGGCUCCUCAGACUCGAGUCACUGAAGUCACACCUCAUGUUUCUAAAAGUCCAAGUCACCAUGAAAAUGAUCUGAUGUUACGUUUUUACUUCAGUUUAAUAAAUAUUUGGUUUUUCACCCAAAUAGAAUAAUUCACAUGAAUCUGUUGAACUAGAAACUCGACAUGAUUUAGUCAUAAAUCUGCUUCAGAUGAAUAAAAAGAACCAAAACGUCUGAAAACGAAGGUUUCCGUACAACCCUGAAGGGACAAUGGUUUAAAUACAGUUACCUGUGUGUGUGUGUGUGUGUGUGUGUGUGUGUCUGUGUGUGUCUGUGUGUGCGU
RNAcentral lists this long non-coding RNA (1574 nucleotides) under Nothobranchius furzeri (turquoise killifish). RNAcentral's name for it is "lncRNA (ENSNFUG00015020078.1)". Lineage: Eukaryota; Metazoa; Chordata; Actinopteri; Cyprinodontiformes; Nothobranchiidae. The record is from RNAcentral.